Molecule: small RNA, 29 nt
Filed under: Bombyx mori (domestic silkworm)
Lineage: Eukaryota; Metazoa; Arthropoda; Insecta; Lepidoptera; Bombycidae
Description: ovarian small RNA-32099
Source: RNAcentral
UGAGAAACAUUAAAUGAUGGAAUAAAGGC